UACGAAGGGUGCAAGCGUUAGUCGGAAUUACUGGGCGUAAAGCGUGCGUAGGUGGUCUCUUAAGUCCGUUGUGAAAGCCCUGGGCUCAACCUGGGAACUGCAGUGGAUACUGAGAAGCUAGAGUGUGUCAGAGGAUGGUGGAAUUCCCGGUGUAGCGGUGAAAUGCGCAGAUAUCAGGAGGAACACCGGUGGCGAAGGCGGGUCUCUGGGCCGAUACUGACGCUGAGGAGCGAAAGCGUGGGGAGCGAACAGG
RNAcentral lists this ribosomal RNA (253 nucleotides) under uncultured bacterium. RNAcentral describes it as "partial 16S ribosomal RNA". It matches the Rfam family "Bacterial small subunit ribosomal RNA", at positions 524 to 776 of the family's 1533-position model. The record is from RNAcentral.